UACGGAGGGAGCUAGCGUUGUUCGGAAUUACUGGGCGUAAAGCGCGCGUAGGCGGCUUUGUAAGUUAGAGGUGAAAGCCCGGAGCUCAACUCCGGAACUGCCUUUAAGACUGCAUCGCUUGAAUCCAGGAGAGGUGAGUGGGAAUUCCUGGUGUAGCGGUGGAAUGCGUAGAGAUCAGGAAGAACACCCUGGCGAAGGCAGCUCUCUGGGCCGACUGAC
This 219-nucleotide ribosomal RNA is filed under the name uncultured bacterium. RNAcentral's name for it is "partial 16S ribosomal RNA". It matches the Rfam family "Bacterial small subunit ribosomal RNA", at positions 524 to 744 of the family's 1533-position model. The record is from RNAcentral.